GACGAACGCUGGCGGCGUGCUUAACACAUGCAAGUCGAACGAGUGGCGAACGGGUGAGUAAUACGUGAGUAACCUGCCCUCUUUUUGGGAUAAGCCUUGGAAACGGGGUCUAAUACCGCAUAACGGGGGAUGGGCUCGCGGCCUAUCAGCUUGUUGGUGGGGUGAUGGCGUCCCAAGGCGGUGACGGGUAGCCGGCCUGAGAGGGUGAACUGCCACUGUGGGACGGAGCUGCGGCCCAGGCUACGACGGGGGGGGGCAGUGGGGGAUAUUGCAGAAUGGGCGAAAGACUGAUGCAGCGACGCCGCGGGGGGGAUGAAGGCUGUCGGGUUGUAAACCUCUUGCGCUAUCGAAUGGGUAGGUGGAUAGGAAGCGCCGGCUAACUACGUGCCAGCAGCCGCGGUAAUUC
Molecule: ribosomal RNA, 406 nt
Filed under: uncultured bacterium
Lineage: Bacteria
Description: partial 16S ribosomal RNA
Rfam family: Bacterial small subunit ribosomal RNA
Source: RNAcentral